This 199-nucleotide ribosomal RNA is filed under the name uncultured bacterium. Its description in RNAcentral is "partial 16S ribosomal RNA". It matches the Rfam family "Bacterial small subunit ribosomal RNA", at positions 1302 to 1500 of the family's 1533-position model. The record is from RNAcentral.
AGGCUGAAAUUCGCCUGUAUGAAGCCGGAAUUGCUAGUAAUGGCAGGUCAGCAUACUGCCGUGAAUACGUUCCCGGGCCUUGUACACACCGCCCGUCACACCAUGAGAGUCGGGAACACCCAAAGUCCGUAGUCUAACCGCAAGGAGGACGCGGCCUAAGGUGGGUUCAUAAUUGGGGGUGAAGUCGUAACAAGGUAGC